Molecule: long non-coding RNA, 951 nt
Organism: Oncorhynchus keta (chum salmon)
Lineage: Eukaryota; Metazoa; Chordata; Actinopteri; Salmoniformes; Salmonidae
Exons: 3
Source: RefSeq, a predicted model, not a curated record
AUACAACAGGUGUAGUAGACCUCACAGUGAAAUGCUGAAUACAACAGGUGUAGUAGACCUCACAGUGAAAUGCUGAAUACAACAGGUGUAGUAGACCUUACAGUGAAAUGCUGAAUACAACAGGUGUAGUAGACCUCACAGUGAAAUGCUGAAUACAACAGGUGUAGUAGACCUCACAGUGAAAUGCUGAAUACAACAGGUGUAGUAUACCUCACAGUGAAAUGCUGAAUACAACAGGUGUAGUAGACCUUACAGUGAAAUGCUGAAUACAACAGGUGUAGUAGACCUCACAGUGAAAUGCUGAAUACAACAGGUGUAGUAGACCUAACAGUGAAAUGCUGAAUACAACAGGUGUAGUAGACCUUACAGUGAAAUGCUGAAUACAACAGGUGUAGUAGACCUCACAGUGAAAUGCUGAAUACAACAGGUGUAAUAGACCUUACAGUGAAAUGCUGAAUACAACAGGUGUAGUAGACCUCACAGUGAAAUGCUGAAUACAACAGGUAUAUCGACCUAACAGUGAAAUGCUGAAUACAACAGGUGUAGUAGACCUUACAGUGAAAUGCUGAAUACAACAGGUGUAGUAGACCUCACAGUGAAAUGCUGAAUACAACAGGUGUAGUAGACCUCACAGUGAAAUGCUAAAUACAACAGGUGUAGUAGACCUCACAGUGAAAUGCUGAAUACAACAGGUGUAGUAGACCUCACAGUGAAAUGCUGAAUACAACAGGUGUAGUAGACCUCACAGUGAAAUGCUGAAUACAACAGGUGUAGUAGACCUCACAGUGAAAUGCUGAAUACAACAGGUGUAGUAGACCUCACAGUGAAAUGCUGAAUACAACAGGUGUAGUAGACCUCACAGUGAAAUGCUGAAUACAACAGGUGUAGUAGACCUCACAGUGAAAUGCUGAAUACAACAGGUGUAGUAGACCUCACAGUGAAAUGCUGAAU